Oncorhynchus tshawytscha (Chinook salmon) is the source of this 1981-nucleotide long non-coding RNA. The record is from Ensembl. Lineage: Eukaryota; Metazoa; Chordata; Actinopteri; Salmoniformes; Salmonidae.
GCGUAAUUGUGCACCCAACUCACUCAGGUGCUUUGCUAUAUCGCAUUUGACAUUAUCCGUAAGCUUGAGUUCAUUCGCACAUAAUGAUGGAAAGACCUGUGUGUUGUCCUUGUUAAUGUAGACAGAGAAGAGCUCCAACUUCUUAACCAUGGCCUCAAUUUUGCCCCACACAUUGAAUAUAGUUGUGGAGAGUCCCUGUAAUCCUAGAUUCAGAUCAUGCAGACAAGAAAACACAUCACCCAGGCAGGCCAGUCGUGUGAGAAACUCAUCAUCAUGCAAACUGUCAGACAAGUUAAAAUUAUGAUCAGUAAAGAAAACUUUAAGCUCGUCUCUCAAUUAAAAAAAAAAAAACGUGUCAAUACUUUGCCCCUUGAUAACCAGCACACUUCUAAGUAUGUAAUACUUUGCUUUGGAUUGCAAACAGAGGAAGAUCUUCAAAGGAAGGAGAUACAGACAAGGCAGAACAUCUAAAAAGGAAGCUGAUAAAUCGGAGCAGGGUGACGGUUGGACUUCCUCCCCUCAGAGUGGAUUUCCCCUCCCUAACCUUGGGAAAGAGAUGCCACGUGCUCCACAGUUAGAGGUUCCACAUCUCUCUGACGAAGACCCUCUGCCAUGUUACCACCACCAACCUUCCACUGUGCCAGACUGCUGACUAGGUCAAGCCAACCAGGAGAGUAAUUGGGAGAGAAUAUCACUGCCCCAGCCAAUGCCAGACAGACAGACAGAUCAAGAUGACCUGGGAAAUCCAUUUGGGCAUUGGCUUACAUCACCUCUCCACACGGGAUCCAGUGAGGGGCCACAGGGAUGUGGAACAAUUGUUGCAGAUCAUGGAAUUCCCAUCGGUUGGAGCUUCCCGCCUGUUUCGUGGUGGAGCUAAAAGUAGCAUCUGCCAUCGUUCAGUCAGAGCAUCAAACUCUCCGAUUAGUUUCCUUCUCCUGACCCAUAAAGUUAGGGGAGCUGUGAAUGUUCUUCUCUCUGUACACUCACUGAGAUGUUUCACAUUGUGUAUAAACCCCAUGACAAACGGUAAGAUGGCGCUUGUCUGUUCUCUUUGAAGAGACUGUGUGGAGAUGGAUUGCACAGGCUCUGCUAUCUGACAGCUAGCUGGGCCUCUAAGUUCACAGUGUUACAGAAAAGCUGGAACAAGCGUGUGGACAUGGAGAAAACACACACUGAAAGACCAUCCCACAGAGAACUAGAAAGAUGUAGAAUGUACUGGAUGAAAUUUCCUAGUCUUUACAACUGACAUGGAGUCAGUCCAAGACACUCACCUUGAACUCUAAAUGGUACACUUCUGUUGUUCCUCUCAUUACCAUUCCUGUCAAGUCCUGUGUUCAUACUGGGAUUAGUACAUAGUUCUCACACCCAUAGGCGGAUGUCAUGAGCAAGACAUAGGUCAAAAGGUUGAAUGUUGUCUGUGUUGUAGGGGUACGGUGUUUAAAAAUGAUUUCUGUCAGAUGUCUGUCUACCUGCUGAAAUCCAAGUUCAGAAGACGUUGCUCUGCUCAGAAUGUAGCAGUUGAGGCAACACUCCCAAAGCAGUACAAAUGUAACAUUUGUUGUGGAGAAAAUAAAUCUGAGCUGUCCGAUACAUUUUAUGCAUAUUGUUGUUCAAAUUUCAGUGAUACAUUUCUGUAGACAAUGAGCAAAAAGCAUCCCUCAAUCGUACAGAGUGCACCUUUCACCAUACCAAGGGUACACACCAAUAACGACCCCAGGUGGCUAAGCAACACACAAACCAGUCCUUCAUUAACCAGUCACUAAGGUUGCUGAGGUGGCAAGUCGCUAAGGUCUGAACUCCAGCUCAAAGGUCAUGCCACAUGACAGCUGCAUUUCCUACAUGUUUUCACAGGUUCUCUAAUCACUGUAGAUUGACAACAGCACAGACGGUCCCAUUCAACCUCCCUGCCUGCCUCUCCCUCAGAUGCCUAGAUUAAACAAACACCCGUGGCCCGUCCUCACAGUCCUGAGUUGCAGCUCCC